RNAcentral lists this long non-coding RNA (436 nucleotides) under Bos taurus (domestic cattle). RNAcentral describes it as "long non-coding RNA NONBTAT013784". Lineage: Eukaryota; Metazoa; Chordata; Mammalia; Artiodactyla; Bovidae. The record is from RNAcentral.
AAUACCCUCUUGUAUGAGAAUUUGGAUAUGGUCAAAGAAUGCAUUCUUCAGUUUUCAUUUGAGCACCCACUAUACAAAAAGAUGUCCCUUAAAAAAAAUAAGAAAAUUAAGUUUUAAAUAACAUUAAAUACUGACAUCUAGAGCAUAUGUUCAACAUAGCCUACUUCUUGCUUGAUUUAAUAUUAAUUGUGGCUGUCCAAAUGAAUAUUAUUGCAAAAUUACCUUGUCCAUAAUAAUUUGUAAACGGUAUAUAGCUGAACACCUGUGCAUGGAAAUAGGAAAUAUUUUCAUGUGUUUACCUUCAGUGCCAUAGAGGCCAAUAUGCACAUUAAAGCCAAGACAUGGAUGUUUAAAAGAAUUUAAUGUUUAAACCAUUACCACUGAUGCUUUCACAUUAUUUAUUAAUAAAAAUCAUAUACUGUCUAAUUUUCUCACU